UCGCUACUACCGAUUGAAUGGUCUAGUGAGGCCUCCGGAUUGCAUUAUGCGAGAUGUUGGACAAACUAUAUCAUUUAGAGGAAGUAAAAGUCGUAACAAGGUUUCCGUAG
RNAcentral lists this ribosomal RNA (110 nucleotides) under uncultured eukaryote. Its description in RNAcentral is "partial small subunit ribosomal RNA". It matches the Rfam family "Eukaryotic small subunit ribosomal RNA", at positions 1676 to 1808 of the family's 1831-position model. The record is from RNAcentral.